This is a long non-coding RNA of Ictalurus punctatus (channel catfish), 1115 nucleotides long. Lineage: Eukaryota; Metazoa; Chordata; Actinopteri; Siluriformes; Ictaluridae. The record is from Ensembl.
GGGGAAUUAAGUAUUAGCCAGGAUUAUGCAUGAGAGAUAUGAGAGAAAAUAGCCCAGUGUACAGUGCAAUUAGUUCAGUGCUAACAUGUCAGCAAUAUUAACCCUAUUGAGAAUCUGUGAAUUUUCAGUUUAAUUAUUGAGCAAAUGUUAAUAUUCACAAGUUAAAGUGAUUUCAGUAUACUCAGGUGGCUACAUAUUAGCAUUUGUAACUAUAUAUUUUCCUGCAGGGCUUCACACCUAGCUCAUUUUAUGGUAGACAAAUGAGCGUAGAGGAUCGAAAGUAAGGGUGCGAGUUAUAAAGCAGAUCUCAGCAAGCUCUCCAGGUUCUCAGAUAAGUUUUAUUGUUACUUGUAACAGUCAUUGAUAAUUGGUUGUUGGUUGGAUAAUUGGUUAACUUGGAUGAACCCUGUUCAGUGUGUGUGUACAGUGGAUAAUAAAAAAAAAGUCUACACACCCCUGUUAAAAUGGCAGGUUUUUGUGAUGUAGAAAAAUGAAACUAAGAUAAAUCAUGUCAGAACUUUUUCCAAACAAAUAAAAUUAAAUGAAAAACAAAAACAUUUUACGGAAAAAUAGGAAAAAAACAACAAAAAAACUUACAAUAACCUCUGCACAUAAAGUGUUCACAUCCUUUUAUAAUUGGGGAUGUGAAUCUUAUGUUCAGAAGUAAUUAUCAUACAGCUGUCAUUAAAUAGAUUAACAAACAGAUUAACCGCAAAUAAAGAUCAGCUGUUUCUGUGGGAUUUUCUUCUUGGUUUAAUCUGACUGCUGAAGCCAUGGUCAGCAAAGAGCUUACAAAGCCUGUACACUGUCAAAAUAUAUCGAUAAGGUGAGGGGUAUAAAAAAAUUCAAACCAUUAGAUGUACUAUGGAACAGCGUGAAGGCCAUCAUCAACAAGUGGAGAAAAUGGAGCACAUCACUAAGAACAGGACGUCCGUCCAAAAUGUAGAACAGGACAAGACAAAAACUUACCUGGGAAGCUUCCAAGAGACCUACAACAACAUUAAAUUAGCUGCAGGAAAAUCUGACGAGGUGUGAUUCCUCUGUGCACGAGAUUACAAUCUGAUGGAUUUGGAAUGUUUUUGCAAGAAAGAGUGGGAAAAUAAUGCUGAAUAAAG